Molecule: long non-coding RNA, 1064 nt
Organism: Solanum pennellii
Lineage: Eukaryota; Viridiplantae; Streptophyta; Magnoliopsida; Solanales; Solanaceae
Exons: 3
Source: RefSeq, a predicted model, not a curated record
UUCUCUUAGUCAAUUUUUACUUAAUUUUCAAGUUCUGAAAGUCUCGAUGGCUGGGAUAUGGAUUUGAGCUCUGAAGCUUCGGUGGUUUGAAGCUUCAUUCAAUGGCUACGAUGGAUCUGAGCUGAAGCACACAUCAAUUUUUUUCUGUUUGCUCGAACUGAAGCACACUAAGAGAUUUAGCUUGUAGCUGGAGAAAUCGAUGUGGAAUUCUCUAUCUUAGGAUCAAUAAUUUUGAUGAGGUUCUUCAAACACAAGUAAAGUUCGUGACCUACUUUAUUAAAAGAUGUUUGGAAUUUACCGCUUGGGAAAAAAUUGUUGUGUCGUUUAAUAGUCGCAAUCAAUCAAUUGGAAAAGAGGGACGAAAACUUGCUAGCUUUCUAGGCAUCAUUUCUAGAACCACAGAUUUGACACAGCUAAAUGUGAAUGAUUGGCGAGUGUUUGAUGAUGAAGAAAAGAAAAAGUUGGUGGAGUUUGUGAAGGUAUAAAAUUAUUAUUCUUAACAAGUAUAUUUGUUUUUAUACAUGAUAUUAUCUUGUUAACUUUUGUCUAUCUUUUAAGAAAAAGUUCUCCAUUCCGAUAUGUGAGAAGAGUUUGUGAAAAAGUCAAUAAGAAAAAAGUGGAGAGACUAUAAAUGCGACUUGAAGGAUAUGUAUGUGACUAAAUAUAAGACCGGAGAUGCUUUGAUGAAAAACAGACCAAAUCAUAUACCAAGGUAUCAAUGGAUGAGAAAAAUCAAGAAAAGCUAGUUUCAUAAUUGUCAUGGAUGAGACUAGUCAUGUGGAAAAAUGCUCCUGCUGAAUUAAGCAAGCCUCAAAACAAUGAAAGUCUUACUAGACAAGUUAUCCGAUUUUAAAGUUUUAAGCUUUUGUUCUUAAAUUUUUGGUUUACACUAAAUUUGGUCAUCCUGUGUGUUGAUUUUUACUAGGUUUGAUGCCAAUAGUGGCAAUGAACAAGCAAUAUAAGCAUUGCUCAAGUUUUCAAGUGGUGACAAGUACUUUUUUUCUCACAAGUAAUCUUUUUUAUCAUCAUGAGUAUGUAUCUAAGUAUUUUUUCCUUUUGGUAAA